AUCUGCCAAGGCUAAAUACUCCCUGGCGACCGAUAGUGAAGCAGUACCGUGAGGGAAAGGUGAAAAGCACCCCGGAAGGGGAGUGAAAUAGAUCCUGAAACCGUGUGCUUACAAGAAGUCAGAGCCCGAUCUAUGGGUGAUGGCGUGCCUUUUGUAGAAUGAACCGGCGAGUUACGUUCCCGUGCAAGGUUAAGGUGAAGAGCUGAAGCCGCAGCGAAAGCGAGUCUGAAUAGGGCGAAUGAGUACGUGGACGUAGACCCG
RNAcentral lists this ribosomal RNA (261 nucleotides) under Paenibacillus jamilae. RNAcentral's name for it is "partial 23S ribosomal RNA". It matches the Rfam family "Bacterial large subunit ribosomal RNA", at positions 455 to 717 of the family's 2925-position model. The record is from RNAcentral. Lineage: Bacteria; Bacillati; Bacillota; Bacilli; Caryophanales; Paenibacillaceae.